This 437-nucleotide ribosomal RNA is filed under the name uncultured Anaerovorax sp. RNAcentral describes it as "partial 16S ribosomal RNA". It matches the Rfam family "Bacterial small subunit ribosomal RNA", at positions 341 to 792 of the family's 1533-position model. Lineage: Bacteria; Bacillati; Bacillota; Clostridia; Peptostreptococcales; Anaerovoracaceae. The record is from RNAcentral.
ACGGAAGGCAGCAGUGGGGCAUAUUGGGCAAUGGGCGCAAGCCUGACCCAGCAACGCCGCGUGAGGGAAGAAGGCUUUCGGGUUGUAAACCUCUGUCCUUGGUGACGAAGGAAGUGACGGUAGCCAAGGAGGAAGCCCCGGCUAACUACGUGCCAGCAGCCGCGGUAAUACGUAGGGGGCGAGCGUUGUCCGGAAUUACUGGGCGUAAAGGGUGCGUAGGUGGUCUACUAAGUCGGAUGUGAAAUCCCCGGGCUUAACUUGGGGGGUGCAUCCGAGACUGGCGGACUAGAGUGCAGGAGAGGAAAGCGGAAUUCCUAGUGUAGCGGUGAAAUGCGUAGAUAUUAGGAGGAACACCAGUGGCGAAGGCGGCUUUCUGGACUGUAACUGACACUGAGGCACGAAAGCGUGGGGAGCAAACAGGAUUAGAUUCCCUGGUA